GAAGUGAGUGGCGGACGGGUGAGUAACACGUGGGUAACCUGCCCAGAAGCAGGGGAUAACACCUGGAAACAGAUGCUAAUACCGUAUAACAGAGAAAACCGCCUGGUUUUCUUUUAAAAGAUGGCUCUGCUAUCACUUCUGGAUGGACCCGCGGCGCAUUAGCUAGUUGGUGAGGUAACGGCUCACCAAGGCGAUGAUGCGUAGCCGACCUGAGAGGGUAAUCGGCCACAUUGGGACUGAGACACGGCCCAGACUCCUACGGGAGGCAGCAGUAGGGAAUCUUCCACAAUGGACGCAAGUCUGAUGGAGCAACGCCGCGUGAGUGAAGAAGGGUUUCGGCUCGUAAAGCUCUGUUGUUAAAGAAGAACGUGGGUGAGAGUAACUGUUCACCCAGUGACGGUAUUUAACCAGAAAGCCACGGCUAACUACGUGCCAGCAGCCGCGGUAAUACGUAGGUGGCAAGCGUUAUCCGGAUUUAUUGGGCGUAAAGCGAGCGCAGGCGGUCUUUUAAGUCUAAUGUGAAAGCCUUCGGCUCAACCGAAGAAGUGCAUUGGAAACUGGGAGACUUGAGUGCAGAAGAGGACAGUGGAACUCCAUGUGUAGCGGUGAAAUGCGUAGAUAUAUGGAAGAACACCAGUGGCGAAGGCGGCUGUCUGGUCUGUAACUGACGCUGAGGCUCGAAAGCAUGGGUAGCGAACAGGGAUUAGAUACCCUGGUAGUCCAUGCCGUAAACGAUGAUUACUAAAGUGUUGGA
RNAcentral lists this ribosomal RNA (754 nucleotides) under Pediococcus acidilactici. Its description in RNAcentral is "bacterial SSU rRNA". It matches the Rfam family "Bacterial small subunit ribosomal RNA", at positions 88 to 828 of the family's 1533-position model. The record is from RNAcentral. Lineage: Bacteria; Bacillati; Bacillota; Bacilli; Lactobacillales; Lactobacillaceae.